GAGCGAUGCCGCGUGCGCGAUGAAGGCCUUCGGGUUGUAAAGUGCGAAAGAGGGGAGAAAAGCCCGAAAGGGCCUGAUCUAUCCUCAGUAAGCUCGGGCUAAGUUCGUGCCAGCAGCCGCGGUAAGACGAACCGAGCGAACGUUGUUCGGAAUCACUGGGCUUAAAGGGCGCGUAGGCGGGCUGUCAAGUCUGGGGUGAAAUCCCGCGGCUCAACCGUGGAACUGCCUCAGAUACUGACGGUCUCGAGGGGGAUAGGGGCGAGCGGAACUAAUGGUGGAGCGGUGAAAUGCGUUGAUAUCAUUAGGAACUCCGGUGGCGAAGGCGGCUCGCUGGAUCUCUUCUGACGCUGAGGCGCGAAAGCUAGGGGAGUAAACGGGAUUAGAUACCCCGGUAGUCCUAGCCCUAAACGUUGGGUACUAGGUAGUAGACCAG
This 433-nucleotide ribosomal RNA is filed under the name uncultured bacterium. RNAcentral describes it as "bacterial SSU rRNA". It matches the Rfam family "Bacterial small subunit ribosomal RNA", at positions 389 to 831 of the family's 1533-position model. The record is from RNAcentral.